Molecule: unclassified non-coding RNA, 127 nt
Organism: Panthera pardus (leopard)
Lineage: Eukaryota; Metazoa; Chordata; Mammalia; Carnivora; Felidae
Source: Ensembl
UGGCAGUUAAAGAACCGAAACAGCAAUAAGACUGCGCAGCCACAUUUUCCUAGUGCCACCAACUGGGCGUUAAGCUGACUAACGUUUUGAAAGCCCAGCCCAUUUCGUUCACAGCAGGCAAGGCAGG